CCCCCUUCUUCUUGUUGCUCGAAUCCUUGAUUUUCCAUUGUUGUUGCUCGAAUCGUGAGCAACGGCGGCGGGGGUGUUCUGGUCUAGCUGGGAACCUUAGAUCGAGAGAGGGGAGAGGGGAGAGAGUAGAAAGGAGAGGGAGACCAGAGACGAGGGAGGCUGCGAUUUGGGGCCUAGAUUCAGGGAGGGAGGCCGCGAUUCAGGGCAGGGAGGGGCUUCGCCAUCCGAGCUUGAAGCUCUCGCCGGCGACCUGGAAAUCAGAGCCCCAAUUUUGCUUUUUCUUUUUCUUUUUUUUUAAUUGUGGUUGGAAAUAAAAACGACGUCGUAUUGUUUUAAAAAAAACGACGCCGUUUUCUUGCACCGCCGACUAUGCCACGCUGUAUUUUCGGUAGUCCACGUCACCUUCAAUUUGGGGGUUUUUUCUGAGUUUGGGAACAUUAAGAACGGAUUUUCAAUUCAUGUAUUUAUAUGCCGAUUUUGAAGUUGGUGAGAAUAUCGCGAAUUUUUUAAAAGCUUUUGAAUUUAGC
This 527-nucleotide long non-coding RNA is filed under the name Salvia miltiorrhiza (redroot sage). RNAcentral describes it as "long non-coding RNA (SMIL_LNC002969)". The record is from RNAcentral. Lineage: Eukaryota; Viridiplantae; Streptophyta; Magnoliopsida; Lamiales; Lamiaceae.